Molecule: small nucleolar RNA, 107 nt
Filed under: Helianthus annuus (common sunflower)
Lineage: Eukaryota; Viridiplantae; Streptophyta; Magnoliopsida; Asterales; Asteraceae
Description: Plant small nucleolar RNA R71
Rfam family: Plant small nucleolar RNA R71
About the family: R71 is a member of the C/D box family of snoRNAs containing the C (UGAUGA) and D (CUGA) box motifs. Multiple nearly identical copies of this snoRNA have been identified in Arabidopsis, and it is thought to function as a 2'-O-ribose methylation guide for 18S ribosomal RNA.
Source: RNAcentral
AGACCGUGAUGUGGAGAUUUCAUGAAUAGCUCCUUGAACCUUUCCCAUGUCUCGUACAAUGAUUCCCUAUCGUCUUGAGAGUAGGAGUUAAUCUCGGUCAUGAGUUU